RNAcentral lists this ribosomal RNA (255 nucleotides) under Pseudomonas sp. PDM04. RNAcentral describes it as "partial 23S ribosomal RNA". It matches the Rfam family "Bacterial large subunit ribosomal RNA", at positions 50 to 316 of the family's 2925-position model. The record is from RNAcentral. Lineage: Bacteria; Pseudomonadati; Pseudomonadota; Gammaproteobacteria; Pseudomonadales; Pseudomonadaceae.
UGAAAGACGUGGUAGCCUGCGAAAAGCUUCGGGGAGUCGGCAAACAGACUUUGAUCCGGAGAUGUCUGAAUGGGGGAACCCAGCCAUCAUAAGAUGGUUAUCUUAAGCUGAAUACAUAGGCUUAAGAAGCGAACCAGGGGAACUGAAACAUCUAAGUACCCUGAGGAAAAGAAAUCAACCGAGAUUCCCUUAGUAGUGGCGAGCGAACGGGGACUAGCCCUUAAGUGGCUUUGAGAUUAGCGGAACGCUCUGGAA